RNAcentral lists this ribosomal RNA (305 nucleotides) under uncultured bacterium. RNAcentral's name for it is "bacterial SSU rRNA". It matches the Rfam family "Bacterial small subunit ribosomal RNA", at positions 334 to 656 of the family's 1533-position model. The record is from RNAcentral.
UACCCUACGGGAGGCAGCAGUCGGGAAUAUUGCACAAUGGAGGAAACUCUGAUGCAGUGACACCGCGUAUAGGAAGAAGGUUUUCGGAUUGUAAACUAUUUUAGACAGGGAAGAAAAAAGACAGUACCUGUAGAAUAAGCUCCGGCUAACUACGUGCCAGCAGCCGCGGUAAUACGUAGGGAGCGAGCGUUGUCCGGAUUUACUGGGUGUAAAGGGUGCGUAGGCGGCUUGGCAAGUCAGUAGUGAAAUCCAUGGGCUUAACCCAUGAACUGCUAUUGAAACUGUCGAGCUUGAGUGAAGUAGAG